AGUGAACGCUGGCGGUAGGCCUAACACAUGCAAGUCGAACGGCAGCACAGUAAGAGCUUGCUCUUACGGGUGGCGAGUGGCGGACGGGUGCGGAAUACAUCGGAAUCUACUUUUUCGUGGGGGAUAACGUAGGGAAACUUACGCUAAUACCGCAUACGACCUACGGGUGAAAGCAGGGGAUCUUCGGACCUUGCGCGAAUGAAUGAGCCGAUGUCGGCUUAGCUAGUUGGCGGGGUAAAGGCCUACCAAGGCGACAAUCCGUAGCUGGUCUGAGAGGAUGAUCAGCCACACUGGAACUGAGACACGGUCCAGACUCCUACGGGAGGCAGCAGUGGGGAAUAUUGGACAAGGGGCGCAAGCCUGAUCCAGCCAUACCGCGUAGGUGAAGAAGGCCUUCGGGUUGUAAAGCCCUUUUGUUGGGAAAGAAAAGCAGCAGGUUAAUACCCCGCUGUUCUGACGGUACCCAAAGAAUAAGCACCGGCUAACUUCGU
Molecule: ribosomal RNA, 491 nt
Filed under: uncultured bacterium
Lineage: Bacteria
Description: partial 16S ribosomal RNA
Rfam family: Bacterial small subunit ribosomal RNA
Source: RNAcentral